This 8967-nucleotide long non-coding RNA is filed under the name Panax ginseng (ginseng). The record is from RNAcentral. Lineage: Eukaryota; Viridiplantae; Streptophyta; Magnoliopsida; Apiales; Araliaceae.
UUUAGAGAGAGAAAAUGUGUUAUCUAGAGAGAGAAAUAAAGAAAGGAAGAGAAACAAUUCUCUAAAUCCAAUCUAGAUCUAAUUUUUUUUCAUAAAAUCUCCAACCAAUCUAAAGUUAAGCCUUCUAUACAAAGCUUAAGGAGGAAGAAUGUAUCACUCCCAAGGUUAAAGUUCUCAUCUUUAUACUAGAUCUAGCCUAGAUCUAGCUUAUUUUAUAAAUUGUUGUGCUUGUGCCUUUGUUUGUUGCUAGCUAAUUUUUCAUUUGAGGCUCUCAUAGCAUCUUAGAUCAUAUAUAUCUAGACGUGUAUGUAUCCUAUUUUUGGGAUUAUGGAUGAUAAGAGAGGAUUUCUCACGGAUGGAAUUUUCUCCUAAUUAGUCGAUGAUAUCCUUUUGGUAAUUUAUCGAUUUUGACUUUGAUUCGACUCCUUUUCACCAAUUAUUCUCAAUUGGGAGUUUUUGCUAUUGAUUUCUAGGUCACCCAAAUAUCCUAGAUUCAAAUAUAGUGGUGAGGGAUCCCACCUUUUGGCCUCAAGGAAUUCUCAUGAAUAUAAUCUUCUUAUAGCCAACAUGUUUUUUUAUUAGAUCUUGAUUGCUUUAUUUUCUAGAUAUAUAGAAUUUAGAUCUAUGGAUUUUGUUUCCAAGAUUCUAAGUUCUUUUAAUAGAUCUCAUUAAUACGUAACAAUCCCUUGUGAUUUCGAUAACUGGUGAUAUUUGUUUCCCUCAAUAUAUAUAGUUAGCGAUAUAUAAUUGCGAUAUUAUUGUGAUAUUUGUCAAAUGAAAACUAAAACAAAGUAUUCCUUCAAAUCAAAUAUUUUGUGCAUAGGUUCAAAGUUGCUUCCAAGAUAAUACACCUACCACGACUUUGACGAUUUUAGGAGACGACACCCUAGAUUCCACAACUUGAUCUUAGGAGUCGACCCCUAGGUUAUGUACGUACGAUUCGACUCAAAACUAGGAGACGACCCCCUAAAUUUCACGACUUGACCUUCGGAGACAACCCUUAUGGUUACUUAUAUUUCACUAUUUGACUCUAGAUUUUCUGGAAUGACACAAUUCAUAUAGGCACAACACGUGUACACUCUUCACAUUUCUCAAAGCAUUUCAUUUUAUUAUAGAAAAAAUUAGAAAACGAUAAAUUUGUCUUCACUGAAGUCGGGGUGCCUAACACAUUCCUAUCGAAAUGUUUUAUUAGUUAAUGGUUGCAGGCGAGAAGAUUAGACUUUGACUUCAUCCCAAUUAAUUGAAUUAAUUUGAGGACGUUUGAGAAUAUAUUGAGAUGGAAGCUGGAUGGAUGGAUGGAUGGCUGGCUUCAAUAGUAAGUCAACCUUUUCAGUUACUACUACGUUUAAGACUUGAGGAGUCGAACAAAUCUAGAAAUAUCUACUGAAUUUGGUUCUUUGGCUUUUCAAAAGGCUUAAUUAUAUAAGAUGAUCCCUUCUAUUAAUUGUCUCGCAUGCAUCAAUUCUGAAUGCAUGAUGAUAUUUAUUUAAUUCUUCCCAUUUCAGAAUUAAGAAGAUGUGAUAUCAGAGAGGUGGUGGCUAGCUAGACGGAAGGCAUGGCAUUUUUAUUUGUUAAAAGGAAGUAAUUCCAUUGGAAUAAUUUUAUGGGGUGGGGUUGCCUUGAAUAAUGAAUAUAUAUAUAUAUAUAUAUAUAUAUAUAUAUAUAUAUAUAUAUAUAGGGGACCGAUCCAUAGCAUCUAUAUGCUAUGGGAUAAAUAUUGGCAUAUAGGCUCUAAACCACACGUUUUAUUGAUUAACGGCUGCGAUCUAGAGUUCUAUUUCUCCGUCCGCUAGUAUUACUAGCGGAUGUAAUUAGUAUAAUUUCCGGACAAUUAAGCCCCUCGUUACUGAAAUUAACUAUGACAGAAACAUGGUCCGCUAGUAUUACUAGCGGAUAGAAGUCAGAGAGCAAAAUCUGUUUAAACAUUUUUUAACUUGUUCAUGCCUGAUCACCUUUAAUUCAACCAACUGCUCCCCCUUUUCUCUCCUUUUCUCUCUCUGUGUAAAAACAAAAUAUACAGGCUACAACACAGAAAGCUCUCGACAGAUAGCUUUAAUAAGUUAGAUCAGAGAAAGCGAUCCAGACAGUUUUCAUGGGGCUUGUAAUGAAUUUUGGAUGAAUUGAAAAACCCAGAAAGGAAUUGGAGUUUGUUGGCUUUAUUUUGUGAGUUCUUUUGCAUAAAUUUAGCUUAGUUUUUUAGUUCGUUUUGUUCUUUUUUUCCUUGUUUAUCUGUUUUUGCUUUUAUUUUGAUAUGAAUUGGUGUGCUUUUGGGUAAUACCCAUUUAAACUAGUUUGGUGAAGAAAAAGUUUCUAAUAACUAGUUCUCUCCAAUUUGGAUUGUAGUAGUUCUUUUGCCAAAUGUUCUUCAUUUUCAUUAUAUAUUAUCUGCAUGUCUAAUUGGUAAAAACUAAGACUCUGAAUUGCCUUAAUUCCUCCUUUUUUAUAAUUGUAGAUGAGCUGAAGAGGUUUAUGCACAUUCUCAUUUUUGAGAUUUCAAGCAAAUUUGUUCUCGAUUUUUAGGAAUUUUGUGACUGUUUUCACACUUGGAUUCUUCUGUGAACUCGGCCUAGUUUCUAAACUUGUUGAAUUUUCCAAUCCUUUACCUUACCCGUUUUAGGAAAAUUUUUAUUGAGUUCAAUGUAUCAAGACGAUGGAAACUUUCAAAUCUCAUCGUUUAUUGGUAUAUUUAUUUAAAUCUUUACCAACUGACUACUCUUUCUAAUUGGCCUCCAUUAAAAUCAAACUUUCAAAUCUCAUCGACAUUUAUGUCAAUUUUUUCCCAAAAUUCCCUUUAAAAUUAAUAAAUUUCAAUCAAAAUAUAAAAUAAAAUAAAUAAUAAAAAAAGGGGAAAUCCCGAGUUCGACGCACAACCCAAGCAGACUUUGAUAUACUAAAUAAAUGCAGUAUAUAUAAAACAUGAUUAUGGUGAUUAUUGUGCGAUUCCUUAUUUUGAGACUAUAUUAAUUAUCUUGUUUGCUAAUUGCUCCCUAUAUUCAAAAUGACAGUUGAAUUUGACUUUUCUUUCAUUUUGAAGAUUGAUAUCAUUUCCCUACAUGGUGUUAUAUGAAAAUUUAAUAACAGAAAAAGUAGCAACAAAAUUCUAUGUCUAACAGUGUACGUAAAAAAUCUGAAUUUAUUAUGUAAAAAUUAAAUAUCAAAUGAGAUUCAUAUUACCGAGAUAAUAUUGGGUUAUUGUGGUACUAUGAUGUUUCAAAUACACAUUAGUAAUUUGAAACCCCUUCAUUUAUAUUCCUUCUCACUGAUCUUCUUUUCUUUUCACCAUGUCUGUAGUCUCUCUACCUCUCUCCUUCAGUCCGUACUAACAAGAAUGUCUCUAGGGCAUCAUCAAGAGCCAUAUUCAAAAUGUUUCCCAAAAAAAAUAAAAAACUAACAAAAAAAGAAGAAGAGCCAUAAUCAUGUUCAGAUAAAAGAGAAUAUAUUAUAUACACAUGACCUACAUGUCUAUUGCACAUGGAAUGAAAAGAUCUUCUUAGAAAAGAUGAUAUCUAUUAAGGAAAAUAAUGGGAAAGGAGAAGUAUAUAUCGUAAAAUUUGUAAAUACUUAAGAAUAUGCUUUUAUUUCAUAUGAACCCCAUAAAAUAAGUUACUCUCUCCAUCCCAUUAUAUCUGACGUUUUAGAGUAUUUUUUUUCUUUUCAAAAUAUUUGAUGUUCUACAAUCCCAAGAAUAUUCUGGCAUUUUUUUCCCACUCUACCCUUCCUUCUCCACCACUAUUAAUGCCUAUUUUCCUUCCCUCUCUACCCUUCCUUCUCCCUAUUUUCCAUACGACGAAGAGGAGAAAAAUAAUUUUAUCAGAUCUAUCAGAUCUAGCCCGAAGAGGAGCACGAAGAUGGUGAAUCCGUUGAGUACCUGAAGAGGUCAGAUCUAUCAGAUCUAUUCGUUCGACGAUGGCUGUUGAUAUCACCGGACCUGAAGAGGGUCCAGUUCAAGGAAGCCCGUGGCGGCGGCGGCGGUGGAGGUCGCGGUGGGGGUGGGUAUGGUGGCGGAGGGGAUUAUAACGGUGGUGGUGGUGGUGGAAGGAGUGCCGGUCGUGGUGGCGGCAGGGGAGGUGGCUGAAGAGAUGAAGAGAUGAAGAAGAAGACAGAGAGUAGGCUGAAGAGAUGAAGAAGAUAGAGCGUAUUAUUAAUUACGGAUAAAAUAGUAAAAUUACAUAUAUUCUUAAUCUAUGUGAGAAUGUAUAGAAUGUCAGAUAUAAUGGGAUGGAGGGAGUAUUAGUUAAUAUUAUGACAUGCUAAUGAAAUUAAAAUAUAUCAAACUUGAGCAUAUUGUGUCAUUUUAUACUAUUAUUAAAAAAUGACUCCUAUUAAACAAAAAAUAAUUGAUAAAUAAUUAAAACUCUUUUUGUGAAACAAAUGAAAUUACUCAUGAAAAAGUUAGCAUGACAAGUAUGAAACAAUGUCCUAGCUAUAUUAUAUUGGAAGUCAAACCCUUGCCAAAGUGAAAGAUAUAUAUUGUCCAAGUUGUGAAUCCAAUAUUCCAGAUUGUAUAAGAGCAUUUUCAACGUUGAGAUUCUUGGCGCGAAGUCAAGCGUCGAGUAUGAUAAGAAUAUAUUCUUCAUAUAUGCAGCAUGGCCAUGCAUGCAGUUAAGAUCGAUAAAGCAUAUGAAAAUGUUCCAUUUUUGCGCCUAUAAAUAUAGUUGAUCACUGGAUGAAUGAGAUAUUCAGUAGGGAGAGAGAUCUUACAUGGAUAGAAGAACCAUGUUUGGUAGCCAAGAAUGACUUGCCUUGCUCCUUUAAUUCAAGGGGUUGAGUUAUUAUUUGUCAAUAAAUUAUAUUAAACCUCUGUUUGGCUUAUAGGCAGGUAUUCUUGGCUAACUUCACUGGCUCUUCUCUCUCAUGCAAGCCCUUGUAUUCCCACAACGUGCUAGCCGUUAGAUUUGUAGCCGUUAGAUUUGUAGAGUCCAAACCUAUGAAAUUAUCUUAUUUAAAUGAAGAAUAUUUUAAUUUCGUAAAUACGUUUUUCCAAAAUUAAGAAGGAAUUGAAAUUCCGAAGCAACAUUAGAAUUGGGAGACUUCCAUGUGGGACUAACAUAGAAAUGAAUAUAUUUUUUCUAAACCAAAUUAGGAUAUAAUAUAUAUAUAUAUAUAUAUAUAUAUAUAUAUAUAUAUAUAUAUAUAUAUAUAUAUAUAUAUAUAUAUAUAUUAUAUAUUAAUUUGGUUUAGAAAAAAUAUAUUCAUUUCUCCCGAUUCUAAUGUUGCUUCGGAAUUUCAAUUCCUUCUUAAUUUUGGAAAAACGUAUUUACGAAAUUAAAAUAUUCUUCAUUUAAAUAAGAUAAUUUCAUAGGUUUGGACUCUACAAAUCUAACGGCUACAAAUCUAACGGCUAGCACGUUGUGGGAAUACAAGGGCUUGCAUGAGAGAGAAGAGCCAGUGAAGUUAGCCAAGAAUACCUGCCUAUAAGCCAAACAGAGGUUUAAUAUAAUUUAUUGACAAAUAAUAACUCAACCCCUUGAAUUAAAGGAGCAAGGCAAGUCAUUCUUGGCUACCAAACAUGGUUCUUCUAUCCAUGUAAGAUCUCUCUCCCUACUGAAUAUCUCAUUCAUCCAGUGAUCAACUAUAUUUAUAGGCGCAAAAAUGGAACAUUUUCAUAUGCUUUAUCGAUCUUAACUGCAUGCAUGGCCAUGCUGCAUAUAUGAAGAAUAUAUUCUUAUCAUACUCGACGCUUGACUUCGCGCCAAGAAUCUCAACGUUGAAAAUGCUCUUAUACAAUCUGGAANNNNNNNNNNNNNNNNNNNNNNNNNNNNNNNNNNNNNNNNNNNNNNNNNNNNNNNNNNNNNNNNNNNNNNNNNNNNNNNNNNNNNNNNNNNNNNNNNNNNNNNNNNNNNNNNNNNNNNNNNNNNNNNNNNNNNNNNNNNNNNNNNNNNNNNNNNNNNNNNNNNNNNNNNNNNNNNNNNNNNNNNNNNNNNNNNNNNNNNNNNNNNNNNNNNNNNNNNNNNNNNNNNNNNNNNNNNNNNNNNNNNNNNNNNNNNNNNNNNNNNNNNNNNNNNNNNNNNNNNNNNNNNNNNNNNNNNNNNNNNNNNNNNNNNNNNNNNNNNNNUGUAUAUAUAUAUAUAUAUAUAUAUAUAUAUAUAUAUAUAUAUAUAUAUAUAUAUAUAUUACUAGGUGAUAACCUGUGCAAUCAGUGACGAAGCCAGGAUUAGUUAGCAGUGGGGUCAAUAAUUAGAGGCUUUGAUGGUUCACGGUUUGACUUUUGCCUUUUGCGAUUUGGCUUUGCCUCUUCUCUCUCUGUUUUAUGGCUGAAGUGCUGAACAGAUAUUGAUGUAUGGGAUUUAGGGCUGAGGCUUGGCCGCUUGGGUAUCUCUAAUUAAAAUAAAUAAAUUUGAGUGAGGUCAAAAAUUGAGUGGGGGUAAAAAAUUGAGUGGGAUAAAAAACUUUUUAAGUGAUUUCAAAAAUUGAGUGGGGUCAAUUGACCCCACAUUUUAACCAUAGCUUCGCCACUGCGUGCAAUGCACGGUCUAGUUUGAGUAAUAGAUUGUAUAAUUUGUUAAAAAAAUUGUGAUGAAAUUUUCUUUUUUUAUAAUAAGUUAUAUGCAUGUAGAAUACAUAAAAAUCAAUAUUAUAGUCUAAACAAUUUUCAAAUAUAAUAAACUGAAACUAAAAAACAUCAUGACAUUCAAAAUGAGAACAAUAACAACCAUUACUGCAACAUUGAGUUGCUAAACAAUCAAUAAAAAAGAUAAAGAACCCUCACAGAGUUCAACUGGAGGAGAAGAUUCUCAGAACUUCAAAGAAGAGGGGUAACCACUUCAUUCACAAAAUUUGGGUUGCUCUCAUCCCGCAGUUUCUACCAUCCAAAAUCCCUAUUUUCACACCCCAAAUAAAAAAAAUCCAUCAUAAAAAAGUUAAAUAGAAACACAUCUCACAAUUUUUAAAAAAAAGUAACUUCAAGAAAACAUCACAAAUACCCACAUAAAAAUUCUCUCAAAUCAAAAUUAUUUUUAGUGAAGAAACUGACCUCAGGGUACAAAGAUGUCAAGGAAUUGAUAUAUUGUCUCUACAACUGAUUCCAAGUACUAUUACAUUGGAAGCAUAGUUGACACCCUGCAGAAUUACAGGUCCCUGGUGGUUGGAGCCAAAUAUGGGGGAGCAAAAUCUUUAAAACCCGCUUGUUGUCCUGGUGUAACAAAAAAUUAUAAACAAACAUAUAAAGAUUUUUGUUGUUGUUGCUAAACAGACGUAUAACAGAUUUUGUCAAAGUUUGUCACAUAAAUUCAACUACUCAAAGUAGUGUUCUGCCAUUUGCAUAUGGAAGAACAAAAUCUUACCUAAAAUAUUGGAUAUUGUUCUGCCAUUUGUGUAUCGUCCUGUUGGCUUCCCAAAAUCAAUACCAUUAGGAGGGUAAUUAGCCUCGGAUAGAGACACAAUGUAGUUAUUAUUUCCAGCUUCAACCAAAGAAUCUCCAAAAAUAAAAUUAGCAUAAAUUUUUCUUGCUGAACAAAUGCCCAACGAACAAAGACUGUCAAAACUUAAAGCACAACACCAACAAUAACUCUUUUUGAUGAUAGAGUAGCCAUUACAAUCAAUGUGUAAGAGAAAAAACAGUUAUGGGUAUGCUCUACCAAUACAGAAUCUGCAUGAAAAAACUAAGUAAAGAAAAUUUUCCCCUUCCUCACAAUUGAAGGAUGAGGAAGAGGAGGAAUCUCUACAAUUUAACAGAGUGCAACAAAUGUUCCUCUGAAGAUUUAAUAUUGUUCAAUGAAAAUCAAAGUUUUAGAUACCAAGUAAAAAAUAUUUUCAAACAUUGAUCAAAGACCUACUACUUCACAGACAUCUGUUAAAUAUAUUAUUAAAUAUAUCACAUAAAAUUCUUCCAUAAAGGAACUUAUAUUCACACUCCAACAACAUUUCUUUAAUCCAGAGCAAUCACCUUAAGCACAUCAUAAACUCUACAACAACUAUUUAAGAAAAACAAAAUCCCACUAAACAACUUAAAUGCAACUCUUCAAAGUAAAGUAUAUAUAUACAUAAUUAAGUGAGUUUAAAAAUGGAAAAUUAACCUUAGACAGUUGAAGCUCAAAGUAGUGAAGUUGUAAACCAUUUUGAUCAAAUUGGAGUGCCAGGAAUCCAGAUUUGGAGCAGAACCGAGCCACAACAGUCAAAGAUGGAGCCUUAGGGGAUAGCUCAGUAAUGGUAGCUACAAUGAACUCCUGUUGUUUCUGUUUUUGGGCUUGAGGAACCUCUCAAAUAUAAUAAAAUGAAACUACAAAACUUCAUAUCAUUCAAAAUGAGAACAAUAACAACCAUUACUGCAACACAGAAUUGGUAAACAAUCCAUAAAGAAGCUAAAGAACCCUAACAGAGCAAUGUUCAAGUGGAGGAGCAGAUUCUCAGAACUUCAAAGAAGAGGGUCACCACUUCGUUCACAAAAUUUGGGUUGCUCUCAUCCCACAGUAUCUAAAGCUGCAAAAAUUCCAAAACCCCUAUUUUCACACCCAAAUAAAAAAAAUCCAUCAUAAAAAUAAUUAAAUAAAAACACAUCUCACAAUUUUGAAAAAAAACAACUUUAAGAAAACAUCACAAAUACCCACAUAAAAAUUCUCUCAAAUCAAAACUAUUUUUAUUGAAAAAGUGACUUCAUUAUGCAGAGAAAUUAAUGCCAUGGAAUGUAUGCAAAGAAAUUAACAGGUAAUAAUCAUCAAACACCACAAAUUGCAAUGAACAAAGGAAAAAUUGCAAUAAAAUCAUAUUAAGCUCAUCAUUCAGGACUUCUAUCAAGUGUUGGUUUAUAUCUUUUGUGAUUUUAAUAAUGACAAUAUAUUUGGGAAUCUAUUUGAGAAUGUUGGUUUAUAUCUUUUGUGAUUUUAAUAAAUGACAAUAUAUUUGGGAAUCUAUUUUGCAGAGAUUUCAAUUCAAAUUCGAAUCGGAGCUUUUUGAGGAAUUGAUUUUGCUAAGGAGUCUGUUUAUAUUUAAAAAGGAGUCUUAUAAGGAAUUGUUUUGAAAUGCUCAAAC